UGUCACUCCUGGAAGCUUAGUCAAGAACUGGCAGAAAGAGUUUCAGAAGUGGUUAGGUCAUGAGAGACUGAAAGUGUAUGCAGCAUCAACUGACAACAGACCAGAAGAGUUUGUCAAGUCUCCAGUGUAUCCAGUGCUGUUAAUUAGUUAUGAAUUAUUCAUAAAGUGUUACGGGAGUUUGGCUAAAGUUAACUUUGAUAUGAUAGUCUGUGAUGAAGGACACAGACUCAAGAACACCAACAUAAAGACAUUCAGUUUAUUAUAAAAGUUACCAACUUCAAGGAGGAUAGUGCUUAGUGGCACUCCAGUACAAAAUGAUUUGAUGGAGUUUUAUGCUAUAACAGAGUUUUGUAAUCCUGGAUUAUUAGGAUCACAGUCAGCUUAUAGGAAGGUUUAUGAAGAGUCAAUUGUAGCAUCAAGACAAGUAGAGGCCACAGAGACAGAACAGGAGAUAGGACAAAGAAGAGCACAGGAAUUGAUGAGGCUUAUUAGUAUGUUUUAUUUAAGAAGAACACAAGAAAUAAAUAAGAAAUAUUUACCCCCGAAAGUCUCAGUUGUAUGAAGGUAUAAAGAGGUAUUAUCCUGAAGACUAUGACCCCACUGAAUGUAAGAUGGAAUAUUCUGGCAAACUCUGGGUCCUUGCAGCAAUGCUAGAGUACCUCCACUCAACCACUGGAGAGAAAGUACUCAGACUUUAGAUAUUUUGGAGAGCAUGUGUAAGCUGUUCAGUUAUUCCUUCCUGAGGCUUGAUGGCCAGACACCGUCUAAUAAGAGACAGAGCAUAGUGGAAAGAUUUAAUAAUAAGCAACUGAAAGACUGUAAGUUGAAAUGUAACUUAAUUAAUAAUUAUAAGAAAAAAUUAUUAUUGGGCAAAGCCCUUGCUUACAGGAAUUUCUGUCUUGUAUGUACGUACAUUUGGGUGUGACUGGGAGGUGUGGUCAGGAGGUGGAGUCCCUCAAUG
RNAcentral lists this long non-coding RNA (961 nucleotides) under Amphimedon queenslandica. RNAcentral describes it as "uncharacterized LOC109587932, transcript variant X2". The record is from RNAcentral. Lineage: Eukaryota; Metazoa; Porifera; Demospongiae; Haplosclerida; Niphatidae.